RNAcentral lists this ribosomal RNA (253 nucleotides) under uncultured bacterium. RNAcentral describes it as "partial 16S ribosomal RNA". It matches the Rfam family "Bacterial small subunit ribosomal RNA", at positions 524 to 776 of the family's 1533-position model. The record is from RNAcentral.
UACGUAGGGUGCAAGCGUUAAUCGGAAUUACUGGGCGUAAAGCGUGCGCAGGCGGCUUUGCAAGACAGAUGUGAAAUCCCCGGGCUUAACCUGGGAAUUGCGCUUGAAACUAGGUCGCUAGAGUGUGGCAGAGGGGGGUGGAAUUCCACGUGUAGCAGUGAAAUGCGUAGAGAUGUGGAGGAACACCGAUGGCGAAGGCAGCCCCCUGGGUCAACACUGACGCUCAGGCACGAAAGCGUGGGGAGCAAACAGG